GACGAACGCUGGCGGCGUGCUUAACACAUGCAAGUCGAACGGAAAGGCCCUGCUUUUGUGGGGUGCUCGAGUGGCGAACGGGUGAGUAACACGUGAGUAACCUGCCCUGGACUUUGGGAUAACUUCAGGAAACUGGGGCUAAUACCGGAUAGGAGCUCCUGCUGCAUGGUGGGGGUUGGAAAUUUUCGGCGGUUGGGGAUGGACUCGCGGCUUAUCAGCUUGUUGGUGGGGUAGUUGCUUACCAAGGCUUUGGUGGGUAGCCGGCAUGAGAGGGUGACCAGCCACCUUGGGACUGAGAGACGGACCAGACUCCUACGGGAGGCAGCGGUGGGGAAUAUUGCCCAGUGGGCGGAAGCCUGAUGAAACAACGCCGCGUGCGGGAUGACGGCCUUGGGGUUGUAAACCGCUUUAGCCUGUGACGAAGCGUGAGUGACGGUAAUGAGUAAAGAAGCACCGGCUAACUACGUG
RNAcentral lists this ribosomal RNA (468 nucleotides) under uncultured bacterium. RNAcentral describes it as "partial 16S ribosomal RNA". It matches the Rfam family "Bacterial small subunit ribosomal RNA", at positions 28 to 507 of the family's 1533-position model. The record is from RNAcentral.